GGGGUUGUGGCUCAGUGGCAGAGCGCUUGCCUAGCAUGUGUGAGGCACUGCAUUCGAUUCUCAGCACCA
RNAcentral lists this transfer RNA (69 nucleotides) under Marmota monax (woodchuck). RNAcentral describes it as "tRNA.Ala". The record is from RNAcentral. Lineage: Eukaryota; Metazoa; Chordata; Mammalia; Rodentia; Sciuridae.